This 497-nucleotide ribosomal RNA is filed under the name uncultured bacterium. Its description in RNAcentral is "partial 16S ribosomal RNA". It matches the Rfam family "Bacterial small subunit ribosomal RNA", at positions 28 to 507 of the family's 1533-position model. The record is from RNAcentral.
GAUGAACGCUGGCGGCGUGCCUAAUACAUGCAAGUCGAGCGAACAGACGAGGAGCUUGCUCCUCUGACGUUAGCGGCGGACGGGUGAGUAACACGUGGAUAACCUACCUAUAAGACUGGGAUAACUUCGGGAAACCGGAGCUAAUACCGGAUAAUAUAUUGAACCGCAUGGUUCAAUAGUGAAAGACGGCUUUGCUGUCACUUAUAGAUGGAUCCGCGCCGUAUUAGCUAGUUGGUAAGGUAACGGCUUACCAAGGCAACGAUGCGUAGCCGACCUGAGAGGGUGAUCGGCCACACUGGAACUGAGACACGGUCCAGGCUCCUACGGGAGGCAGCAGUAGGGAAUCUUCCGCAAUGGGCGAAAGCCUGACGGAGCAACGCCGCGUGAGUGAUGAAGGUCUUCGGAUCGUAAAACUCUGUUAUUAGGGAAGAACAAAUGUGUAAGUAACUAUGCACGUCUUGACGGUACCUAAUCAGAAAGCCACGGCUAACUACGUG